ACGAACGAACGAACGUGCGCUCUCUCAAUCUCAGUCUCACCCGCACAGCCUCAAUUCUCCGUCUCUCUCACUUCGUCACCGUGCCUCCGGCGAUCCGGCCUCCGUGCGCGGCGCUCCUCCGCUUCACUGUGCUACCACGACCCUCUCUUUCUCUCUGCCCGACUCUGCCUCUGUCUCCCUCUGCUCCUCCAGUCCACUCCACUGCGCCCCUCCACUCCACUGCUCCUCCAGUCCUCCUUCAGCCUCCAGCCCACGGCUUCUCCACAUAAGUUCUCGUUCUUCUCUUCUUCCAAUCUUCUUGUUCUGAUAAAUUGAGAAUCUGGGAUUCUGGGAAUUAUUGAACUGAAGUUGAAUUGGAAAAUUGAAAUUUGAAAUUUUGAAUUGGUAUUGUUCAUCAGUUCUACGAUUACUGAUAAUCAAUUUAUUUCUGUCUUACUGAUAUCAACUAGAAAUUUGGUAAAGGCGUAAUGCUGCAAACUUGGAAAUUUGGUCAAGCUGGAAUUCUGGAUAUUUGGGCGUUUUUGUUAUGUGUAGACAUUUGUCAUGACCUGUUAGAUUUUUCAAUUGGUACUUUGUUAGUAUUAUAGGGCUUUUUGCUGGAGUUUGAGUCGGUGGACAAAGUGGUGUGUGUGUAAACAUUUCAAUCGGCGCCUUUUUUGAAUUUAAGAAGGUGGUCUGGUUUGUUUCCCUCUCUCUUAUUUGUUAUAUGUUUAUUCCUGAGUUUAGGAUGCAAGUCCUUUGUCUGUUAAUUCUUGUCUGUUUAUUUUUAUAAUGCUUUUGAACCUCUGCAUCUCUGUGUCACUUUUUGUCCUGUAAUACAGUUCUUCACAAGGUGCUGUCAGAUUUUUGCAAAGGAGAGAAAGAGACAGAAAAAAAGGGGCUAGUCAUUUUAUCCAUAUUUAUUUUUAAGAUCACCACCUAAGACCGGCCCUCAACCAAACCCGAAGUUGCCAAAACCUUUAAUCCAAAACCGGAUUUGCUAUCAUGAAGAGGCUUAAUGGGUUGCCGGCACUGUGUUUUGGGGUAUAAGAAGAAGUGGGUGUUGCUUUGAAAGUGUUAUAGAGUAAAGAAAGUGAAGGUCGGACUUGGUCUCUGUUUUGCUCCAGUGGGCCUUAUCUGCAAUGAACCAACUGAAUUGUAGACCAACAGAUGCCGUCAAGAUUUCCGUUAGAUUGACCGCGUCUCACAUAGGACAGGGAAGAUGAAACUGUAAAGUAUGAAGUUACCACAAGGGCUUUUAGGGGAGAAGGAGAGAAGCAGCUGCAUCAAGGAGAUAAAAGGUCCUGUUAGAAGAAACCAUCAACCUGCAAACAGAGCACAGUUGAAGUCUUCUCCCUCGUCAUCCCUCAUCCUGCAAAGCAGAAAAACAAAUGCUUCCUGAACCCUAAAAAUUCGAUCAAUUCAAUUCAAUGAUUAAACGUCCUAUAAAUGAUUAUCGGUUGUGUUGAUUAUUUGGGAAGAUUACAAACCAGAAGAUGAAGAUGAUGAUGGUGAGAAAAGCUGGGUCUUAAGCUUAGGCUGCUGGGUUUACAUGAUGGGAAUGGGAUCAGGUACUUGAGAUCUCUUAUUGUUACUUGCUCUUGUUGACAAUUUGCCCUUGAGUUACAUCAUAACUUCAGAAGGAGAAAAUGCAGUGUCUUGAACAAAUUGAGAUUAAUAGCCCUGUUGGGAUGCAUCUGAUGUAUAACUGCUCCAAUCCGAAAGCGAAUUUUGGGAAAGCAAAUUCCAACCAAAUUCCGCCAUGUCAGUUUUGUACUGUUUACCGCUCAAAGUAAAAGCCUUUCUUGGAAUGUUCAUGUUUAAUUGUUGCUCAAGACUACCUUGCUUACAAGCACAAACCUUGUACAGAAAUCCAUAUAUAGAAUUCCUUAAUCUUCUUGUGGAUCUAUUCCUUUCAUGUAAAUAGAAUUGUGUGUGAGUUCCUUGUAGAAA
Molecule: long non-coding RNA, 1932 nt
Organism: Rosa chinensis
Lineage: Eukaryota; Viridiplantae; Streptophyta; Magnoliopsida; Rosales; Rosaceae
Exons: 3
Source: RefSeq, a predicted model, not a curated record